CCUACGGGAGGCAGCAGUGAGGAAUAUUGGUCAAUGGACGAGAGUCUGAACCAGCCAAGUAGCGUGAAGGAUGACUGCCCUAUGGGUUGUAAACUUCUUUUAUAAAGGAAUAAAACGAGGCACGUGUGCCUUUUUUCAUGUACUUUAUGAAUAAGGAUCGGCUAACUCCGUGCCAGCAGCCGCGGUAAUACGGAGGAUCCGAGCGUUAUCCGGAUUUAUUGGGUUUAAAGGGAGCGUAGAUGGGUUGUUAAGUCAGUUGUGAAAGUUUGCGGCUCAACCGUAAAAUUGCAAUUGAUACUGGCAGUCUUGAGUACAAGUGAGGUAGGCGGAAUUCGUGGUGUAGCGGUGAAAUGCUUAGAUAUCACGAAGAACCCCGAUUGCGAAGGCAGCUUACUAAACUGUGACUGACAUUGAUGCUCGAAAGUGUGGGUAUCAAACAGGAUUAGAUACCCGAGUAGUC
Molecule: ribosomal RNA, 460 nt
Filed under: uncultured bacterium
Lineage: Bacteria
Description: partial 16S ribosomal RNA
Rfam family: Bacterial small subunit ribosomal RNA
Source: RNAcentral